Long non-coding RNA from Myotis lucifugus (little brown bat), 484 nucleotides. RefSeq lists it as uncharacterized. The transcript has 3 exons. NCBI's taxonomy places the organism in Eukaryota, Metazoa, Chordata, Mammalia, Chiroptera, Vespertilionidae. The record is from RefSeq and is a predicted model, not a curated record.
GGGGCCCGCCGGGCAGUGGGGGCCUAUCAGGGCGCGGAGUGUGGCCAGACCGCCGGGUUCAGCCGCCACGUGAGUGCUCCGGCGGCCGCUGCCACACACCGGCGGGCAGCAUGUCGGCGACUGCGGUGGCUCGAAAGCGGGGGAAGCCGGCCUCGGGGGCCCGAGCCGGUGCGGGGGCCGGCAAGCGGCGGCGAAAGGCCGACUCCGCCCGGGACCGGGGCAAGUCCAAGGGUGGCGGCAGGAUGAACGAGGAGAUCUCCAGCGACUCCGAGAGCGAGAGAAACCAAUGAAAAAAUAUCCUGGGGUGAGGAUUGAAAAAGAAAGCUGGCUUUGGAAAUUCUGCUUCCAAAAUUGCAUUUUGUUGGCCUUCACCUGCUCACAGAAAGACUUAAUAUACGUUUCAUAGUCCUAAGGUUACAUGGCUAUGUGUGCACCAAGCCCUUUGCUAAACACUUUGAAAUGCCUUUAAAAUGUGUUGUGGGCC